Molecule: ribosomal RNA, 429 nt
Filed under: Bacteroidota bacterium
Lineage: Bacteria; Pseudomonadati; Bacteroidota
Description: Bacteroidetes bacterium partial 16S ribosomal RNA
Rfam family: Bacterial small subunit ribosomal RNA
Source: RNAcentral
UAGGGAAUCUUCCGCAAUGGACGCAAGUCUGACGGAGCAACGCCGCGUGAGUGAAGAAGGAUUUCGGUUCGUAAAACUCUGUUGUUAGAGAAGAACAGCGCAUAGAGUAACUGUUAUGCGUGUGACGGUAUCUAACCAGAAAGCCACGGCUAACUACGUGCCAGCAGCCGCGGUAAUACGUAGGUGGCAAGCGUUGUCCGGAUUUAUUGGGCGUAAAGCGAGCGCAGGCGGUCAAUUAAGUCUGAUGUGAAAGCCCCCGGCUCAACCGGGGAGGGUCAUUGGAAACUGGUUGACUUGAGUGCAGAAGGGGAGAGGGGAAUUCCAGGUGUAGCGGUGAAAUGCGUAGAUAUAUGGAGGAACACCAGUGGCGAAGGCGACUCUCUGGUCUGUAACUGACGCUGAGGCUCGAAAGCGUGGGUAGCAAACAGG